Non-coding RNA from Phrynosoma platyrhinos (Desert horned lizard), 72 nucleotides. The record is from the annotation of a GenBank genome assembly. NCBI's taxonomy places the organism in Eukaryota, Metazoa, Chordata, Lepidosauria, Squamata, Phrynosomatidae.
CCCAGUGUGGCGUAAUGGUAUCAGUGUUGGAUUACAACUCUGGAAACCAGGGUUCGAUUCCCAGCUUGGCCA